GAUGAACGCUGGCGGCGUGCUUAACACAUGCAAGUCGAGCGAAGCGGCUGAAUUGAUUCUUCGGAUGAUUUUCAGUUGACUGAGCGGCGGACGGGUGAGUAACGCGUGGGUGACCUGCCCCAUACCGGGGGAUAACAGCUGGAAACGGCUGCUAAUACCGCAUAAGCGCACAGAGCUGCAUGGCUCGGUGUGAAAAACUCCGGUGGUAUGGGAUGGGCCCGCGUCUGGUUAGGCAGUUGGCGGGGUAACGGCCCACCAAACCGACGAUCAGUAGCCGGCCUGAGAGGGCGACCGGCCACAUUGGGACUGAGACACGGCCCAAACUCCUACGGGAGGCAGCAGUGGGGAAUAUUGCACAAUGGGGGAAACCCUGAUGCAGCGACGCCGCGUGAGCGAAGAAGUAUUUCGGUAUGUAAAGCUCUAUCAGCAGGGAAGAUAAUGACGGUACCUGACUAAGAAGCCCCGGCUAACUACGUGCCAGCAGCCGCGGUAAUACGUAGGGGGCAAGCGUUAUCCGGAUUUACUGGGUGUAAAGGGAGCGUAGACGGCAAGGCAAGUCUGAUGUGAAAACCCAGGGCUUAACCCUGGGACUGCAUUGGAAACUGUCUGGCUCGAGUGCCGGAGAGGUAAGCGGAAUUCCUAGUGUAGCGGUGAAAUGCGUAGAUAUUAGGAAGAACACCAGUGGCGAAGGCGGCUUACUGGAC
This 704-nucleotide ribosomal RNA is filed under the name uncultured Lachnospiraceae bacterium. Its description in RNAcentral is "bacterial SSU rRNA". It matches the Rfam family "Bacterial small subunit ribosomal RNA", at positions 28 to 734 of the family's 1533-position model. Lineage: Bacteria; Bacillati; Bacillota; Clostridia; Lachnospirales; Lachnospiraceae. The record is from RNAcentral.